RNAcentral lists this ribosomal RNA (497 nucleotides) under uncultured bacterium. Its description in RNAcentral is "partial 16S ribosomal RNA". It matches the Rfam family "Bacterial small subunit ribosomal RNA", at positions 28 to 507 of the family's 1533-position model. The record is from RNAcentral.
GAUGAACGCUGGCGGCGUGCCUAAUACAUGCAAGUCGAGCGAACAGACGAGGAGCUUGCUCCUCUGACGUUAGCGGCGGACGGGUGAGUAACACGUGGAUAACCUACCUAUAAGACUGGGAUAACUUCGGGAAACCGGAGCUAAUACCGGAUAAUAUAUUGAACCGCAUGGUUCAAUAGUGAAAGACGGUUUUGCUGUCACUUAUAGAUGGAUCCGCGCCGCAUUAGCUAGUUGGUAAGGUAACGGCUUACCAAGGCAACGAUGCGUAGCCGACCUGAGCGGGUGAUCGGCCACACUGGAACUGAGACACGGUCCAGACUCCUACGGGAGGCAGCAGUAGGGAAUCUUCCGCAAUGGGCGAAAGCCUGACGGAGCACCGCCGCGUGAGUGAUGAAGGUCUUCGGAUCGUAAAACUCUGUUAUUAGGGAAGAACAAAUGUGUAAGUAACUAUGCACGUCUUGACGGUACCUAAUCAGAAAGCCACGGCUAACUACGUG